Molecule: ribosomal RNA, 325 nt
Filed under: uncultured eukaryote
Lineage: Eukaryota
Description: partial 18S ribosomal RNA
Rfam family: Eukaryotic small subunit ribosomal RNA
Source: RNAcentral
CCCUUAGAUGUUCUGGGCCGCACGCGCGCUACACUGAUGCAUUCAACGAGUCUACAACCUGGUCUGAUAGGGCUGGGUAAUCUUUUGAAUGUGCAUCGUGAUUGGGAUAGAUGAUUGCAAUUCUUCAUCUUCAACGAGGAAUGCCUAGUAAACGCAAGUCAUCAGCUUGCAUUGAUUACGUCCCUGCCCUUUGUACACACCGCCCGUCGCUCCUACCGAUCGAAGAGUUAGGUGAAUUGUUUUGAUCGAUAAGAUUUGACUAUGGUCAACUCUCGUUGUGAAAUUCUGUGAAUCUGACUGUUUAGAGGAAGGAAAAGUCGUAACA